Small nuclear RNA from Ochotona princeps (American pika), 163 nucleotides. Its record names the gene U1. It matches the Rfam family "U1 spliceosomal RNA". From Rfam's summary of the family: U1 is a small nuclear RNA (snRNA) component of the spliceosome (involved in pre-mRNA splicing). Its 5' end forms complementary base pairs with the 5' splice junction, thus defining the 5' donor site of an intron. NCBI's taxonomy places the organism in Eukaryota, Metazoa, Chordata, Mammalia, Lagomorpha, Ochotonidae. The record is from Ensembl.
AUACUUAGCUGGCAGGGGAGAUGUCGUGAUCAGGCAGGUGGUUUUCCCAGGUGAGGCUCACCCAUUGCACUUGGGAGGGGCUGACCCCUGUGAAUUCCCCAAAUGUGGGAAACUCGACUGCAUAAUUUGUGGUAGUGGCGGACUGUGUUCGCACUCUCCCCUG